This 1371-nucleotide ribosomal RNA is filed under the name uncultured bacterium. RNAcentral's name for it is "bacterial SSU rRNA". It matches the Rfam family "Bacterial small subunit ribosomal RNA", at positions 28 to 1381 of the family's 1533-position model. The record is from RNAcentral.
GAUGAACGCUGGCGGCGUGCCUAAUACAUGCAAGUCGAGCGAACGGACGAGAAGCUUGCUUCUCUGAUGUUAGCGGCGGACGGGUGAGUAACACGUGGAUAACCUACCUAUAAGACUGGGAUAACUUCGGGAAACCGGAGCUAAUACCGGAUAAUAUUUUGAACCGCAUGGUUCAAAAGUAAAAGACGGUCUUGCUGUCACUUAUAGAUGGAUCCGCGCUGCAUUAGCUAGUUGGUAAGGUAACGGCUUACCAAGGCAACGAUGCAUAGCCGACCUGAGAGGGUGAUCGGCCACACUGGAACUGAGACACGGUCCAGACUCCUACGGGAGGCAGCAGUAGGGAAUCUUCCGCAAUGGGCGAAAGCCUGACGGAGCAACGCCGCGUGAGUGAUGAAGGUCUUCGGAUCGUAAAACUCUGUUAUUAGGGAAGAAUAUAUGUGUAAGUAACUGUGCACAUCUUGACGGUACCUAAUCAGAAAGCCACGGCUAACUACGUGCCAGCAGCCGCGGUAAUACGUAAGUGGCAAGCGUUAUCCGGAAUUAUUGGGCGUAAAGCGCGCGUAGGCGGUUUUUUAGUCUGAUGUGAAAGCCCACGGCUCAACCGUGGAGGGUCAUUGGAAACUGGAAAACUUGAGUGCAGAAGAGGAAAGUGGAAUUCCAUGUGUAGCGGUGAAAUGCGCAGAGAUAUGGAGGAACACCAGUGGCGAAGGCGACUUUCUGGUCUGUAACUGACGCUGAUGUGCGAAAGCGUGGGGAUCAAACAGGAUUAGAUACCCUGGUAGUCCACGCCGUAAACGAUGAGUGCUAAGUGUUAGGGGGUUUCCGCCCCUUAGUGCUGCAGCUAACGCAUUAAGCACUCCGCCUGGGGAGUACGACCGCAAGGUUGAAACUCAAAGGAAUUGACGGGGACCCGCACAAGCGGUGGAGCAUGUGGUUUAAUUCGAAGCAACGCGAAGAACCUUACCAAAUCUUGACAUCCUUUGACAACUCUAGAGAUAGAGCCUUCCCCUUCGGGGGACAAAGUGACAGGUGGUGCAUGGUUGUCGUCAGCUCGUGUCGUGAGAUGUUGGGUUAAGUCCCGCAACGAGCGCAACCCUUAAGCUUAGUUGCCAUCAUUAAGUUGGGCACUCUAAGUUGACUGCCGGUGACAAACCGGAGGAAGGUGGGGAUGACGUCAAAUCAUCAUGCCCCUUAUGAUUUGGGCUACACACGUGCUACAAUGGACAAUACAAAGGGCAGCGAAACCGCGAGGUCAAGCAAAUCCCAUAAAGUUGUUCUCAGUUCGGAUUGUAGUCUGCAACUCGACUACAUGAAGCUGGAAUCGCUAGUAAUCGUAGAUCAGCAUGCUACGGUGAAUACGUUCCCGGGUCU